UACGUAGGUGGCAAGCGUUGUCCGGAAUUAUUGGGCGUAAAGCGCGCGCAGGCGGUCCUUUAAGUCUGAUGUGAAAGCCCACGGCUCAACCGUGGAGGGUCAUUGGAAACUGGGGGACUUGAGUGCAGGAGAGAAGAGUGGAAUUCCACGUGUAGCGGUGAAAUGCGUAGAGAUCCGGAGGAACCCCAGAGGCGAAGGCGGCCCCCUGGCUCGUACCUGACGCUCAGCCACGAAAGCAUGGGGAGCGAACGGG
Molecule: ribosomal RNA, 253 nt
Filed under: uncultured bacterium
Lineage: Bacteria
Description: partial 16S ribosomal RNA
Rfam family: Bacterial small subunit ribosomal RNA
Source: RNAcentral